CCCAGGAUUAGCAGCGCGCUCUG
RNAcentral lists this non-coding RNA (23 nucleotides) under Cricetulus griseus (Chinese hamster). The record is from RNAcentral. Lineage: Eukaryota; Metazoa; Chordata; Mammalia; Rodentia; Cricetidae.